GUGCUCACCUCAGCAGCACAAACACCAAAAUUGGAGCCAUACGGAGACUAGCAUGGCCACUGUGUAAAGAUGACAGGCAAAUUCAUGAAGCGUUCGUAUAUUUU
RNAcentral lists this small nuclear RNA (104 nucleotides) under Microcebus murinus (gray mouse lemur). The record is from RNAcentral. Lineage: Eukaryota; Metazoa; Chordata; Mammalia; Primates; Cheirogaleidae.